ACUUCCAUGCAGAUACGACACCUAAUUUCUUCUCUCCACUUUUUAACUCUCUCUCCUCCCUCUACUUUUCUCUUUCUCUCUCUACUUUUUUGUCUUCCUAUUUUUGCCAUUCAUCUUCUAAUCUCUUUCCCUUUUGUAACGUCUGUUUGUUUUUUGACAUUAAUCUCUAUCUAUUUUCAGCCUGUUCUUGAUAAGAUUAAAAGGAGCCCAAAUUAGUAUGCAAAAAAAAAAAAUCAAAACAAAAAAAGAUCAGUGGGCGGUGGAAACGAGGCCAAGAAUUUAAAUCUGUGGUCGUGAUUUAACGACGAUUAAUCUUCAUAGCCGAAAUUCGAGAUCUCAUUUUAAGUCGCUCUCUCUCUUCCCUUCAGACCAAUUCACACGUCUCUCCACACGCUUUUCUCUCUCUCAAUCUCUAUAAAUUCUCGCUCCUCCACUGUCUUCAACCCUGCAAUUUGCACAAAGAUGUCGAAAUUUGUUAUUUUCGUUUUCUCUCUCUUCCUCCUCCUCUCUGCUGCAGUUUCUAUUCGGCCCGAACCCACCAUCCCCCAUACAACCCAACAGCCGGUAAGCACUUUCUCUCUCUAACUUUGAUUGUUUUUAUAAUCUCUCUCUCUCCCUUGAGUCUCCUCCCCUCUCUUAAUUCUCUCUUUCUCUGGUUUUAUUCUUUUAACAAGUCUCUCGUAUUUAGGUUCUGUAUCUUUCGUCUUAUGGUUUUCUAAUAUGUUGUUAAAUAUUACAAUUCUCUCUCUCUACAUGUUUCUUUCUCUCUCUACGUUUCUAUGUUUCUUUCUCUCUCUUAAUUUUAAUGGGGUUUUGUGAAACCAGGGUUUGGGUGGAGAGGAGAUAGAUGAAUCGUGUGAGAAUUUGAACGAGGAAGAAUGCUUGAUGAGAAGGACGCUUGUGGCUCAUACCGACUAUAUAUACACCCAGAAGCAUAAUAAGCCUUGAAAUUGUUUUGGGUUUCAUUGAUGGCUUGUAAUUUCUGAUAUCUCAGUCAAUAAGAUUUCAUAUACAUAUUUAUGCGAUUUAAUGGCGUGUAUAUACUUUUUUUUCUCUCUUUUUACUUUUUCUUGUUAUGGGUUUGUGUUUGGCGAUUGAACAGAGCUAGACAGAGAGUCUCUGUAAUUCAGUUCUAUUUGUCUAUGUAACUGCAAAAGUUUUAGACAGGAGAUAUUGAAGAAUUCGAUUUUAAUACGCCCAACUGACUGGUAAUAAUUGUAGUCUUAAAAACUGUGUUAAAAUGUGGUGCGUUUUCUCUUCAUUUGCUAAAGUCUGUCUAGUUGCAUUUAAUUUCUUUUUUAAUUUCCUUCUGACUCACCCGAUAAGCGUUUGUUCAUUUGAUUCAUUCAUGACGAGUUGGCGCUCUAUGCACCUCUUCUGUAAUGAACAUCUUGUUUCUCUCUCUUCCUCUCUGCUAAACCUAGAAGUUUGAUUUGUUAACGAUAAUUCUCUCUCUCUCUCUUUAACGGCGAUAACUCUCUCUCUCUCUCUCAUAUGGACAUCAUUGACCAACCAAAUUCUUUCUCUCACCCGGUCAUAACAAUUUCAACCGCCCCUAUUUACAUGAGAUUAUUAUUUAUUGGAAUGUUUUGUGUUUUCUAUUUGGACACGGUUUUAUAAGCCCUUGUAGAAAUGCGUCCCCUCUUAAAAACAAAUUUUCCUUUCUAUUUCUCUUUAUGUUUAUUCCGCUUGAUAUGAUGGUUUCUGUGAGUCCUUGAGUCUUCCCC
This 1727-nucleotide long non-coding RNA is filed under the name Amborella trichopoda. RNAcentral's name for it is "long non-coding RNA (ATRI_LNC005151)". Lineage: Eukaryota; Viridiplantae; Streptophyta; Magnoliopsida; Amborellales; Amborellaceae. The record is from RNAcentral.